RNAcentral lists this ribosomal RNA (719 nucleotides) under Bacillus pumilus. RNAcentral describes it as "bacterial SSU rRNA". It matches the Rfam family "Bacterial small subunit ribosomal RNA", at positions 634 to 1350 of the family's 1533-position model. Lineage: Bacteria; Bacillati; Bacillota; Bacilli; Caryophanales; Bacillaceae. The record is from RNAcentral.
GGAAAACUUUGAGUUGCAGAAAGAGGAGAGUUGGAAUUCCACGUGUAGCGGUGAAAUGCGUAGAGAUGUGGAGGAACACCAGUGGCGAAGGCGACUCUCUGGUCUGUAACUGACGCUGAGGAGCGAAAGCGUGGGGAGCGAACAGGAUUAGAUACCCUGGUAGUCCACGCCGUAAACGAUGAGUGCUAAGUGUUAGGGGGUUUCCGCCCCUUAGUGCUGCAGCUAACGCAUUAAGCACUCCGCCUGGGGAGUACGGUCGCAAGACUGAAACUCAAAGGAAUUGACGGGGGCCCGCACAAGCGGUGGAGCAUGUGGUUUAAUUCGAAGCAACGCGAAGAACCUUACCAGGUCUUGACAUCCUCUGACAACCCUAGAGAUAGGGCUUUCCCUUCGGGGACAGAGUGACAGGUGGUGCAUGGUUGUCGUCAGCUCGUGUCGUGAGAUGUUGGGUUAAGUCCCGCAACGAGCGCAACCCUUGAUCUUAGUUGCCAGCAUUCAGUUGGGCACUCUAAGGUGACUGCCGGUGACAAACCGGAGGAAGGUGGGGAUGACGUCAAAUCAUCAUGCCCCUUAUGACCUGGGCUACACACGUGCUACAAUGGACAGAACAAAGGGCUGCAAGACCGCAAGGUUUAGCCAAUCCCAUAAAUCUGUUCUCAGUUCGGAUCGCAGUCUGCAACUCGACUGCGUGAAGCUGGAAUCGCUAGUAAUCGCGGAUC